CCUACGGGAGGCUGCAGUGAGGAAUAUUGGUCAAUGGACGGAAGUCUGAACCAGCCAUGCCGCGUGCAGGAAGACGGCUCUAUGAGUUGUAAACUGCUUUUGUACAAGGGUAAACCUGAAUACGUGUAUGCAGCUGAAAGUACUGUACGAAUAAGGAUCGGCUAACUCCGUGCCAGCAGCCGCGGUAAUACGGAGGAUCCAAGCGUUAUCCGGAUUUAUUGGGUUGAAAGGGGGCGUAGGCGGAUUGAGAGGUUAGAGGUGAAAGGUCCGCGCUUACCUCGGGAACUGCCUCUAAUACUGGUGAUCUAGAGCGUAUAUGCGGUAGGCGGAAUG
Molecule: ribosomal RNA, 333 nt
Filed under: uncultured bacterium
Lineage: Bacteria
Description: partial 16S ribosomal RNA
Rfam family: Bacterial small subunit ribosomal RNA
Source: RNAcentral